CAGGUCAUAGCUUAAGUAGAAAAGCCCCUCUCUUACACCGAGAAAAUAUCCGUGCAAAUCGGAUUGCCCUGA
RNAcentral lists this transfer RNA (72 nucleotides) under Datnioides undecimradiatus (Mekong tiger perch). RNAcentral describes it as "tRNA-Val". It matches the Rfam family "tRNA". Rfam says of the family: Transfer RNA (tRNA) molecules are approximately 80 nucleotides in length. Their secondary structure includes four short double-helical elements and three loops (D, anti-codon, and T loops). Lineage: Eukaryota; Metazoa; Chordata; Actinopteri; Lobotiformes; Datnioididae. The record is from RNAcentral. RNAcentral also lists the same sequence under 1 other name.